AGGACUACCUCUACAAGGCCCUGUGUUUGUUCCCUGGCCAGUCCUGUGAGUGGCCAUCCCAGAGGGGCAGUGAGAAAAGAGGGCCUGUGCCUGGAGAUCUGAAGGUGGAACAGGAAAGACCUCGUGCCUUAACAUUUGUUCUACCCCCAAAUCAUUCUUUCCUUUGUAUUGUAGGAUUUUUUUUCUAUUGUUAGGAGUUCCCUCUUAAAAUGUAGCUCCCCACUCCAGUAAACUACAAGUACUAUAUAGCCCUGAGAUAAAAUUGCACAUGUUUUACUCAUUAGAAUAGAAUGGAAUCAAGUUUCUGUUCUGUUAGAAAUAGAAUAGAAUUCUGUGAAGGGGUACAAAUAUAAUGAUGGGCAUGUAGAAGUAUACUUAAUAAUAAAUAUUCAAAAAAAAGUAUGAAGUCCCUACUACUUAAAAGAAUCGUAGGAUGAGGUAACCCUAGCUACUUUGUCCUCUGAUUAAUGUUUUUAUAUGCUUAUGACAUGAACAUUUAUCUGUCGCAGUGGCACGGUAAGAGAGUUUUCUAAGUAGGAGAGUCACACCCCAGCUUUGUGGUUCAUUGACAGCGAGGGAUAAAGGACAGCACCCCUACCUUGAGCCUGAAACAAAGUCAUCAGCUCACACUUGCAGGAGAUGAUGAGUAGCCAGCAAGCGAGGGCCCAAGGGCUUGUUCGAAACAGGACACCCUACGGGGGGUGCAGUGCAGUGGACAGCGAGAGACAGGGAGCGGUUGCCUGGGAGAGUUUCGCAGGCCUGAGUGUCCCGUAGGCUGUCACUUCCUGCGGCCACCUCUGCCCGUGCUCACUUCCGUCUGUGCUCAUCUAGAAGGAGCCUCUUGUGCGCAGUCGCCGUGGACUAAGGGACAAGGGUGCGAGGAGCCUGCGGAGCCCCGUGUGUCAAAACCCCUGUGGGACUUGGCUGCUUCACACCUGGCACGUGGCAUGCCGUUGGUCUGGCUACUUGUGACCCAGCCCAAGAGACCUCUGAGGACACUAAGCUGCAGAAGAGAAGCUACAAACAAGAUCUGAGCGCGGAAGAGAUUUCCUAUCGUGGUCGGGCACCUCCCCUACCACUUUGCUUUCCUGUGCAGCUGUGUGUGUGCUGAAAAGAUUGAUGUGCAUUUCACCUUGAGAGCCUGUUUGCAAAUCACACGUACAAAUGUUCCUCUCAUGGUACGCGUGGUUGUGGGGUUGGUUGGAGGGGGGAAUUGUGUUAAUUACAUUUGAAUGGGGAAGCCGUGAUGAUUCACUAGUUCAGCCCCUGGUAGUUAAUUGUGUUACAGCCAGGGAAAAAUUCUGUUGGGGUCUAUGAGUAGCUGUGGUGCAAUUAGGCAGCGAGAAGGGUUUUGCCAGUAUGGUUGCUAUUGAUUAGUAUUUACUUUAAAAAGAGUAAAAGCGAUUCCCUUGAGCCAGAGCUGCCUAAUCUGUCAGUGGCCAGGCUGUGUGUUCCGGAGACACGUAGCAGGUUUGUCCAUAUAUUAUGAAGCCCCCCUCCAAAGAGAAUCCAGUAUAGAAAUCGUCUGAACUGGUUUUAAUGAUGCCCCAAUAAAAGGCAUAUACCACAGCCGCGAUCUCAUUAAAAGAGAAAAGUCUUUUUGUACAUUUGCUUAUUUAUUUAUGAAACACCUCUGAAAUAUUUAUAAAUGCUUCCCUGAUAUUUGUCUAAAAAUACAUGUUAGAGCUUCUUUGGUGGGAGAGGGAGGGAAAUAAAGGGUAGAAAUGCAAGUGGAGGAACGAGAGGGAAAUUCAGCCCCUUUUCUGUCUGCAGCAAGGACACGGAUGUGGCAAGGUAUAGGAAAGUGUCACUAGGGGGUGCCCCACGAACCUGUGCAGCACAGGUGACCUGACUCACUGGGAUCUCUUACAAAGGACAAAGCAGUGGCGAUCACAAGUGGUCUGUUUAAUUUUCCUGACAGAAACCGGGCAGAUGCAGGCGCUCCUUAGGCCUUGAUCACUUCCCUCCCUUUUAGAGCUCUUUAUUAAUUGAAAUAAUAGUUAUGGUACCCCUGGCCUCAGACCUACUUUCAUCUGUUUAGCAACUGCUUUCUCCAAAACACAAAAGAGCUCAGAGAUGACACUCCUCAUGUCUUAAUUAACCAUUGAAUACCUUAUAGAGCUGCUGUCACAACUCUUGUCACUUGAAAGCAAGCACAGUGGUCCCUGUUUUUUUAAAAAAACAAUAAAUCAACACAUACACCGGGGGAAAAAAGUUGAUCUAAUGAGCCGCCUUUGACGGGUUUUAGAACUGCAUUUUUUUAUCAUCCUACUUUGCACUCAUGCAGCAAUGCAAAUGAGGGACUCUAGCUGCUCCGGAGAAAACCAGGGAAUUUGCAUUUCUUCCCACCCUCUAGAAAGAGACAUUGGUUGCCCAGUGGCUGAGAAAAUGGUUUGCGAUCAGAGAUGAUAACAGAGCCCAACUGCACGUCAGUAAAAGGGAGGAGGUUCAGAAGUUGACUUAUGUAACGAAAGGAUUUCCAAGCCUUUCCAGCCCCUGGGCAUGAAAGAGUCUCCCUGAGACCCUAACCCUCACCUGCCAGUGUAAGUGGCACAGGCUCCUGGCCAGCUGAGCCCAACCUCACCAUCCCUUUGGCUCCAGGAAGGAUUUUACACGCGCAUGUGAACCAGUCUGGGCCUCCCCUGCCUGGAGCUCUGCGAUGCCAUCAGCCUGGCCUUGCCCACUCAAACCACACCGCCCCCGUUUCUCUCUCUGGGUUCCUGUGGACUGCUGCCUCUGCUAGGGCUGAUGACAAGGCCCUGCCACCAAC
Long non-coding RNA from Fukomys damarensis (Damara mole-rat), 2770 nucleotides. NCBI's taxonomy places the organism in Eukaryota, Metazoa, Chordata, Mammalia, Rodentia, Bathyergidae. The record is from Ensembl.